AUAUCCUAAAAGUUCAAUUUAUACACAAAAAUUUCAAUUCAUAUCUUAAAAGUUCAAUUCAUAUCCUAAAAUUUCAAUUCAUAUCCACAAAAGUUCAAUUCAUAUCUUAAAAUUUCAAUUUAUAAACUAAAAUUUCAAUACAUAAACUAAAAGUCCAAUUCAUAUCCUAAAGGUUCAAUUCAUAUCCUAAAGUCCAAUUCAUAUCCUAAAGGUUCAAUUCAUAUCCUAAAGGCUCAAUUCAUAUCCUAAAUUUUCAAUUCUUGCACAAAAAUUACAAUUCAUAUCCUAAAGGUAAUUCAUAUCCUAAAAUUUCAAUUCAUAUCCACAAAAGUUCAAUUCAUAUCGUAAAAUUUUAAUUUACAAACUAAAAUUCCAAUACAUAUACUAAAAGUCCAAUUCAAUUCAUAUCCUAAAAGCUCAAUUCAUAUCCUAAAAGCUCAAUUCAUAUCCUAAAAGUCCAAUUCAUAUCCUAAAGGUUCAAUUCAUAUCCUAAAGGUUCAAUUAAUAUCCUAAAAGUUCAAUUCGUAAAUUAAAAGUUCAAUUUAUAAACUAAAUUCCAAUACAUAAACUAAAAGUCCAAUUUAUAUCCUAAAAAUUCAAUUCAUAUCCUAAAGGCUCAAUUUAUAUCCUAAAAGUCCAAUUUAUAUCCUAAAGAUUCAAUUCAUAUCCUAAAUGCUCAAUUCAUAUCCUAAAAUUUUAAUUCAUACACAAAAAUUUCAAUUCAUAUCCUAAAAUUGCAAUUCAUAUCCUAAAAUCAAUUUAUAAACUAAAAUUCCAAUACAUAAACUAAAAGUCCAAUUCAUAUCCUAAAAGUCCAAUUCAUAUGCUAAAGGCUUAAUUCAUAUCAUAAAUGUUAAAUUCAUACAUAUAAAUUUCAAAUCAUAUCCUAAAAUUUUAAUUAAUAUUCACAAAAGUUCAAUUCAUAUCCUAAAAUUUCAAUUUAUAUCCUAAAAUUUCAAUUUAUAAACUAAAAUUCCAAAACAUAAACUAAAAGUCCAAUUCAUAUCUUAAAAUUUCAAUUCAUAUCCUAAAAUUUUAAUUUAUAGCCUAAAAUACCAAUACAUAAACUAAAAGUCCAAUUCAUAUCCUAAAAGUCCAAUUCAUACCCUUAAGGCUCAAUUCAUAUCCUAAAAGUUCAAUUCAUAUCCACAAAAGUUCAAUUUAUAUCCUAAAAUUUCAAUUUAUAAACUAUAAUUCCAAUACAUAAACUAAAAGUACAAUUCAUAUCCUAAAAUUUCAAUUCAUAUCAACAAAAAGUUCAAUUCAUAUCCUAAAAUUUCAAUUUAUAGCCUAAAAUACGAAUACAUAAACUAAAAGUCCAAUUCAUAUCCUAAAGACUCAAUUCAUAUCCUAAAAGUUUAAUUCAUACACAAAAAUUUCAAUUCAUAUCCUAAAGGUUCAAUUCAUAUCCUAAAAUUUCAAUUUAUAUACACAAAAGUUCAAUUCAUAUUCUAAAAUUUAAAUUUAUAACCUAAAAUUCCAACACAUAAACUAAAAGUCCAAUUCAUAUCCUAAAAGUCCAAUGCAUAUCCAAAAGGCUCAAUUCAUAUCCUAAAAGUACAAUUCAUACACAAAAAUUUCAAUUAAUAUCCUAAAAUUUUAAUUCAUAUCCACAAAAUUUCAAUUCAUAUCCUAAAAAUUCAAUUUAUAAACUAAAAUUCCAAUACAUAAAAUAAAAGUCCAAUUUAUAUCCUCAAAGUCCAAUUCAUAUCCUAAAGGCUCAAUUCAUAUCCUAAAAGUUUAAUUCAUACACAAAAAUUUCAAUUCGUAUCCUAAAAGUUCAAUUCAUAUCCUAAUUUCAAUUCAUAUCCACAAAAGUUCAAUUUGUAUCCUAAAAUUUCAAUUUAUAAACUAAAAUUCU
Molecule: long non-coding RNA, 1861 nt
Filed under: Nicotiana tabacum (common tobacco)
Lineage: Eukaryota; Viridiplantae; Streptophyta; Magnoliopsida; Solanales; Solanaceae
Description: long non-coding RNA (NTAB_LNC013533)
Source: RNAcentral